UUUCAAUGGAGAGUUUGAUCCUGGCUCAGGACGAACGCUGGCGGCGUGCCUAACACAUGCAAGUCGAACGAGGGCCCAGAGCUUGCUCUGGUGACUCGAGUGGCGAACGGGUGAGUAACACGUGACCAACCUAUCCUAGGGCGGGGGACAACCCGGAGAAAUCUGGGCUAAUACCGCAUGAUGUUGUUCCUUCGCAUGUUGGAACAAUCAAAGAGGGCCUCUGCUUGCAAGCUCUUGCCCAGGGAGGGGGUCGCGACGUAUCAGUUUGUUGGUGGGGUAAUGGCCUACCAAGACUACGACGCGUAGCGGAUCUGAGAGGAUGAUCCGUCACAUUGGGACUGAGAUACGGCCCAGACUCCUACGGGAGGCAGCAGUGGGGAAUAUUGCGCAAUGGACGAAAGUCUGACGCAGCGACGCCGCGUGUGGGAGGAAGCCUUUCGGGGUGUAAACCACUGUCAGG
This 460-nucleotide ribosomal RNA is filed under the name Gemmatimonadales bacterium. RNAcentral describes it as "bacterial SSU rRNA". It matches the Rfam family "Bacterial small subunit ribosomal RNA", at positions 1 to 440 of the family's 1533-position model. The record is from RNAcentral. Lineage: Bacteria; Pseudomonadati; Gemmatimonadota; Gemmatimonadia; Gemmatimonadales.